AGAACGAACGCUGGCGGCAGGCCUAAUACAUGCAAGUCGAGCGGGCGUAGCAAUACGUCAGCGGCGGACGGGUGAGUAACACGUGGGAACAUGCCCUUCGGUACGGAACAACUCAGGGAAACUUGAGCUAAUACCGUAUGAUCCGGCAACGGCAAAGAUUUAUCGCCGGAGGAUUGGCCCGCGUCCGAUUAGCUAGUUGGUGAGGUAACGGCCCACCAAGGCACCGAUCGGUAGCUGGUUUGAGAGAACGACCAGCCACACUGGGACUGAGACACGGCCCAGACUCCUACGGGAGGCAGCAGUAGGGAAUCUUGGACAAUGGGGGAAACCCUGAUCCAGCCAUGCCGCGUGAGUGAUGAAGGCCUUCGGGUUGUAAAACUCGUUUCGACGGGGACGAUAAUGACGGUACCGUAGAAGAAGCUCCGGCUAACUUCGCGCCAGCAGCCGC
This 448-nucleotide ribosomal RNA is filed under the name uncultured bacterium. RNAcentral's name for it is "SSU rRNA". It matches the Rfam family "Bacterial small subunit ribosomal RNA", at positions 26 to 518 of the family's 1533-position model. The record is from RNAcentral.